CAGUAGCCACGGGAAUACGUAGGUGGCAAGCGUUGUCCGGAAUUAUUGGGCGUAAAGGGCUCGCAGGCGGUUUCUUAAGUCUGAUGUGAAAGCCCCCGGCUCAACCGGGGAGGGUCAUUGGAAACUGGGAAACUUGAGUGCAGAAGAGGAGAGUGGAGUUCCACGUGUAGCGGUGAAAUGCGUAGAGAUGUGGAGGAACACCAGUGGCGAAGGCGACUCUCUGGUCUGUAACUGACGCUGAGGAGCGAAAGCGUGGGGAGCGAACAGGAUUAGAUACCCCCGUAGUCCCUGUCUCUUAUAC
This 301-nucleotide ribosomal RNA is filed under the name uncultured bacterium. Its description in RNAcentral is "partial 16S ribosomal RNA". It matches the Rfam family "Bacterial small subunit ribosomal RNA", at positions 509 to 807 of the family's 1533-position model. The record is from RNAcentral.